AGAGUGAACGCUGGCGGUAGGCCUAACACAUGCAAGUCGAACGGCAGCACAGGAGAGCUUGCUCUCUGGGUGGCGAGUGGCGGACGGGUGAGGAAUACAUCGGAAUCUACCUUUUCGUGGGGGAUAACGUAGGGAAACUUACGCUAAUACCGCAUAAGACCUUCGGGUGAAAGCCGGGGACCUUCGGGCCUGGCGCGGAUAGAUGAGCCGAUGUCGGAUUAGCUUGUUGGCGGGUAAAGGCCCACCAAGGCGACGAUCCGUAGCUGGUCUGAGAGGAUGAUCAGCCACACUGGAACUGAGACACGGUCCAGACUCCUACGGGAGGCAGCAGUGGGGAAUAUUGGACAAUGGGCGAAAGCCUGAUCCAGCAAUG
This 373-nucleotide ribosomal RNA is filed under the name uncultured soil bacterium. Its description in RNAcentral is "bacterial SSU rRNA". It matches the Rfam family "Bacterial small subunit ribosomal RNA", at positions 26 to 396 of the family's 1533-position model. The record is from RNAcentral.